CUGCAUUCACUGAGGAAUCUAUUAUAGAUUAUUUUUGUACAUUGUACAUUAUUUUUAAACUAAAGACAUAUAUGUUCAAGCAACAGUGCUGUUCUGAGAUGUUACUUGCAAGCUCUGGAGCAACUUCUCAGACUUCUCUGGCGUGGUGUUUGCGCUGCCCUGGCUGAGGUGUAUCCCUGUUGCUCGGCCAUGUCACUUCCUAGUGGGUCACAUCUAUGAACAAUGAGAUGAGUCUUCUAGCAGGUGGGCAAUGAGGGGCGUCUGCCUAUAUAUUACUCUGUUUGUGUAAGCUAACUGGCUUAUACUUAACAACUGGCAGACUGAUUCCAGGUCAAUAGUAAAAGGCUGCUUCCUUGUUCUCACACCCCAGGGCAGUCAACACACACAGAUCUGCACAAUUCUCCCUGAAGUCUCAACACAGAGCUGGGAAACACUGCCUGUACUGAGGAGGAGCAGAUUGUCACUGUUUGUUGUCUAGCUGGUGUCAUUCACAUCCCUAUUACUCAGUGUAGGAGCAGCAUAACAUUUGUCAUUGUAAAUAGAUGUCCAGAGCAAAUAAAUCAGUUGUAAGACUUUUGCUGGCUUCACUCUGCUUGCUCCACUUCCUUUACAUGGUCUCUUUAUCCUUUGCUAAGUCCGAUCAGUCUGUGCUGGAUCUUGUAAGUGGGUUUGAUACAGGAGCUGAGGCAGCAGUUCUACCAGGAAGUCCCAGAGCUUAUUCUUCCAUUUAAUCUACGACUCAGAGCACCAGAGAUUAAGGUUGAGCAAGGCAGCAGGGAGACUUUUCAGACGUUUUUCCCGCUCUGUCCCUCAUGGCCAUUGUCAUACUGACUGUCAUUCCCCACUUGUUGAUGGGAACAGACUUUAGCAGGACCUAUUGCAUUUGGACAAAGUAAAGGCUUUAAACUAAAAGAGGGUAGAUUAAGACUAGCUAUAAAGAAGAAUUUUUUUGCAAUGAGGGUGGUAAAACUCUGGCACAGGUUGCCCAGAGAGAGGUGGUAGAUGCCCCAUCCCUGGAAACAUUCCAGGCCAGGCUGGAUGGGGCUCUGAGCAACCUGAUCUAGUUGAAGAUAUCCCUGCUCAUUGCAGGGGUGUUGGACUAGAUAAUCUUUGCAGGUCCUUUCCAACCCAAACCAUUCUAUGAUCUAUGAUUCUUGGGGCCGAGCCAGGCUGUGACAGGGACAAGCCAAGUCACGGAGCAGGAGAACAGCUCAGGCUGGGAGGAAAGACCUGGGAUGGUAUCGGUCUGGAUAGGUAAAUUUUUUUCCUUCUGGAACAGGGGCUUUGGCUUCCAGACAUUUUGGCUCUCUCCCCACCAAGUUACAUCUUCCCAGGUGCUCUAGAGUAACAAGUCGUUCAUGGGAAGGAAUGUGUUACUGCACAAAUUGCAUCUGCCCUUCUGGGUACUGCAAGGCUCUGCACAGUGACUGAGCUAUGCCAGGGUAAAUAUUGGUAAGAAAACGAGGUGAACAGCUUUAGGAUGCUGGCAACAAGGAGUCGAAAGUGUACGGUAGAGUGGGAGAAGACAUCGGUUGUGCUGACAUGUAUUCAAAGUUGUUGGGGGAAAUAGAGCUGGAGUUGUCAUUUGGGUAUCCGGAGAUAUAAAAUCAAAAGAUGGUGGUGGGGAGCUGACGAAGUUGAGGUAAAAGGAUACAUGGCUAUGAAUCAGGAAGCGUCAAAGGUAUUUCCUGGAACAAAAUGACUUUGUUUUAAGUCUUCUUGCUGCCUGCAUCAUCCGUGUCCCUAUGAAGAAGAAUACAGCACUUCUUGUGAAGCAUUGAUGAAGAGGUCCAGGCUGAUUCACGGAACCUAUAACGCACUGCAUUUUGAAAAGAUUUCACACCUUCACCAUCACUAGAAAGAUGUGAGCCAUGUUGACCCUUCACUUCAGCCACAGAAAAGCAGAAACAGGAAAUCAACUCAAGUGGGACUGAUUCCAAACACCGACCAGUUUUGUCCUACCUCCAAUUUUGCCUUGACCUUUCCUGACUAAUGUAAAAGGAGGCUAGCUACGUGGAGAGGUUCUGGCAAGAGCUGUGGAAAGAAGGAGCCUGCGAGAUGCCUGUGUUUGCUCCCACUGGAGACAAAUGGCUCUCCUGAUAAUGUUAUCUCUGGGGACUGACCUUAAACUGGCAAGUUCACUCCAUUUAACAUAUCUGCUGGGUUAAAAAGCAGUUUGAGCAUGAUCCCAGGAUAUGUCAGGUGCCUGGGACAGUCUCUUGACGUCAGUGGGGGCGGGAGGGUUUCCGUGUCCCGAAUGUGUGUGGGAAGAACAACUGCAGUGUUUAUCCAGAACAUGCCCAUUGGCAGCACCACUGGGAAACUGCUGCCGAGUCUCUCCAAGGCAGAGAAAAAAAACAGGUACUUUGAACUCCAAUAAGGAAAUUACCCUUUCAAAGAUCCCUUUCUUAAUUUAGAAUUUAGCUUUUCUCUGCCCCUGUCCUGGCCUCAUUAGAGUAGGUUUUUUGGUGGUGAACAGUGGUGUGAAGCUGGAACCCGAAUGGUGACUCCCGCUCCCUUUCUGCUGUGAAGCUUUUUAAUACAUUACAGUGAUGUUUCUCAGGAAAAAAAGGCAAACAAAGAAAUUGAUGUGUAUGUUUUGACAAGGGAAAUCAGGAAAGAAUAAACAUUUUCUAACUGCUAUUUUUUGCCAUGUGCAUAAAUAUUUAUAAUUGAACCCUGCAUCCAGGAGCUGUUCACAUGAUCAAAUAACUAGCUAUAAAUGCAAUAUAGCAGACUAUGUAAAAACGCUUUUGGUGAAGGGUUGUGUGCCUUCCAUUCUCCUCUCAACCUAACUUGUAGCGAAUGCUCCUCACUCCUGCCAAGAAAGAUGACAGUUUCUCUGAAUCAGGAAUGUUCAUUUCAUUUUAGGGGUUAUACGUGUUCUGCUGGCCCAUCUACUGCCUCAAAAGCAAUAAAACGCCAAUCAGAAAGAAGUAUUUGUCAUUAAGUAAAUGGUAAUACAGUGAUUUGAAUUUGGAUAUUUAAAAUGAAUCAUAUAACUUUAUUUCAUUAAAUGAAAGAGUUUGCCCAGCAACUGUCUUUGCAUAAGAAUUCACAUUUACCAUCACUUUUAUUUUUUCGCCUUCUUGUCUGCGAAAAUUUAAUUCAGAAGUGUAACUUUCUGACAAAGAGUUUUGCAACUGUGUCUGCCCUGGCUUCUAUUUUGGAUGCUAACUUGUACAGAAUAAAGGACACUAAAGAAAACUACUUGUCUUUUUUAUUUUUUUUUUUUUUUUCAUUUCUGUGGCAGAUUGAAAUCCUGGCAUGAACUUUGAGGGUAUAAUGACCCUUUAGGUCUAGGUUUGUUUUACCUACUCUUAGCCAUAUAAAAGCCAGGCAUUUGGGCUCAGCUAGCCUUCUGUGCUCUGUGUAGAGAGGGCAGUCCCAGUGGGGAAUUCAAGCAAACUUACUUGGAAAACUGGGUUGGGCCGGGGCUAGGCCUUAAGUUUUUGAUAAGUGAUGUUCCAUGAAACAAACCCAAUCCAGGUUUAGGAGCAAUGUGAGUGCAAGGGCUAUGGCCAUGUCCUGCACUGCUUGCCAGCUUGGAAGGUGCCAGGAGGAGGGGGUCUGAGUCCACCCUGACAGCAAUAGCACAGCCUCUGUGCAAGGGAAUCUUCAGUUUUCCUCUUGGCACAGUUUUCUAACACCUCCGUGUUGUCAAAACAAACAAAUUAAAGGCCAGGGUCUGUGCAUGAAAAAAGUAACUGUACAAAUGCAAUAAAGAUAAGCUCCCGAUUAGGAUGAAAGACAAGGUUGAAAAGAUUAUGGUCAUAGUGCAAUAGACAGGUUAUGUGUAUGUUUUUCUUAUGCAUCUUGGAGAUUUUAUCAAAUGGUGAUACAUCAUAUUAGAGCUGAUCUCAGAUGUGUUGUAGGUCGAAUGAACAUUGCACAUUUCUAAAACUUCUUUGGCAUGAUUCACCUCCCAGUGAAAAAACAAUCCUUCUUGACUUCCAUGGAAGCAGAAUCCAGUCCUUCCCAAUCUUAGAAAAAAAGAGGUGUAAACAGGUGUGCUUAUCCAAUUACUCCUGUAAUUAUGGGAUGGGCAUUCAGAACCUAAUGAACACAAGGGCAGUCAGCAGGGGUUUCAUAAUUGACUGUAAUGGUGGGUGGUUGGGAUUCUUGCUCUGGCCUUCCCCAAUGCAUGGUAACUACUGCCAUGGGAAACCACUUUGUUUCACUGAAUUUCACCCCUCUGCUGGUAAACAGUAGUUUGAAAGACCACCAAGAAUAGCAAUACUUGGCAGUGGUAGAGCUUUGCGGGGAUGAAGGGGGGUGGUCAGACUUUUGGUUGACUGAAAACAUGAUAGCAUCUUUCUAGCGUAAUCUUCUUCCCAGAAAUGUAUCAAGCUGAUUGGUGUUGACAAAUGACCAGUUCACAAAGCAUCUCACCCCACUACCUUCUGCCACUUUCUGUGAGGAAUAACACAACUCAGAAAUGGUGGGGAGAGGAAAGGGGAGGGAGAAGUGAGUGUGAGGAGACCAGUCUCUGAAACAGUAUCUGUUUCUAAAGGGCAUUUCUGAGAACUUUUGGGUUGGGAAUUUUUAAUUUUUCUGGUUGAUUAUUCAUUUCCCUCCACCUGGACCAAAAAAAGGGAAAAAAAAAAGCAUUGUAAGGAUCUCUGGGAGGGUGAAUAGCAGGACAGCUCUUACUGAACUCCAGAGCAUUUGCCCCUGCCUCCCCCAGCUGGAGAGCCCAACAGCUGUCUUCAUAAAUACUGUCACUCAGGAUUUGAAUAGUUUUACAUAAUCUGGACUGGAGUGGGGAAUCCAAGCUUUUUGCUGGUCAAGUGGCAGGUGGGGAAUUUAAGCUUUUAUAAUAGGUCCACAAUUGCUGCUCCCACAGGGAUUUUCUUUUACUGCCUAUUGAUUUAUUAUAAGCUCCAAAGUAAAGACCCCAGGAUUAAAGUGGGGGUGGAGGGUGAUAUAUUCUGAAGGUCAGAGGGGUAAAGAUGUAGAGGAAAUCUGGGCCUAUCCUGCUGCUGUGGCAGUGGCCCAGACGGGUGGCCUGUGUGCCCUGUUUGUGACCCCUGUGCUGAGGAGGAGAAGCAUUUAGACUGCUGGGUCACCAGUUGACAUGAGAAAAGGAGAACCUGCUAUUUUAGUUGUGUGAUUUUGGUUUUAAUUCUCUUUUUCUUUUUUGAUAUAGAAAUACUUGCCUAGAUCCUUGUGUUUUCUCAUCUCUGACCAUAGUCCAUGCUUUAGCCAUGACUGUGUCACCUGAGAGCUGAUUUUUCCAGGACAGCCCAGAUGCUCUCUGCUGGUGUGAACUGCUGUGGCUUCCCUGAUAUCCCACAGACUUGCAUUUAUUUAGCCCGGCUGAGGGCCUAGCACAUACCUAGUGGCAAUGUCUGAGAUAAAUCACGAUUUAGGACAUGUAGAUCUAAGAGAACUUCAAAGGAAGCAUAGAGCACAUUGUUUUUUAAUUAUACAGAGGCAGUGUAGAGCAGGAUUUUCUGAAUAAUAGCUCACUG
Molecule: long non-coding RNA, 5474 nt
Organism: Columba livia (rock pigeon)
Lineage: Eukaryota; Metazoa; Chordata; Aves; Columbiformes; Columbidae
Exons: 3
Source: RefSeq, a predicted model, not a curated record